AACGUAGGAGGCAAGCGUUAUCCGGAGUUACUGGGCGUAAAGCGCGUGCAGGUGGAUAAGUAAGUUACUCAUGAAAGCUCCCGGCUAAACUGGGAGAGGUUGAGUAAAACUGCUUGUCUAGAGUGGAUGAGAGGUAAGUAGAAUUCCUUGUGUAGUGGUGAAAUGCGUAGAUAUAAGGAAGAAUACCAGUGGCGAAGGCGACUUACUGGCAUCCAACUGACACUCAGACGCGAAAGCAUGGGUAGCGAACGGG
This 253-nucleotide ribosomal RNA is filed under the name uncultured bacterium. Its description in RNAcentral is "partial 16S ribosomal RNA". It matches the Rfam family "Bacterial small subunit ribosomal RNA", at positions 524 to 776 of the family's 1533-position model. The record is from RNAcentral.